CCUUCAUGAAGCUGGAAUUGCUAGUAAUGGCAGGUCAGCAUACUGCCGUGAAUACGUUCCCGGGCCCUUGUACACACCGCCCGUCACACCAUGAGAGUUGGGAAUACCCGAAGCCUGUGAGCUAACUUAUAGAGGCAGCAGUCGAAGGUAGAAUCAAUGAUUGGGGUGAAGUCGUAACAAGGUAGC
This 186-nucleotide ribosomal RNA is filed under the name uncultured bacterium. Its description in RNAcentral is "partial 16S ribosomal RNA". It matches the Rfam family "Bacterial small subunit ribosomal RNA", at positions 1315 to 1500 of the family's 1533-position model. The record is from RNAcentral.